AUACGGAGGAUCCGAGCGUUAUCCGGAUUUAUUGGGUUUAAAGGGAGCGUAGGUGGAUUGUUAAGUCAGUUGUGAAAGUUUGCGGCUCAACCGUAAAAUUGCAGUUGAAACUGGCAGUCUUGAGUACAGUAGAGGUGGGCGGAAUUCGUGGUGUAGCGGUGGAAUGCUUAGAUAUCACGAAGAACUCCGAUUGCGAAGGCAGCUCACUAGACUGUUACUGACACUGAUGCUCGAAAGUGUGGGUAUCAAACAGGAUUAGAUACCCUGGUAGUCCACACAGUAAACGAUGAAUACUCGCUGUUUGCGAUAUACAGUAAGCGGCCAAGCGAAAGCAUUAAGUAUUCCACCUGGGGAGUACGCCGGCAACGGUGAAACUCAAAGGAAUUGACGGGG
This 393-nucleotide ribosomal RNA is filed under the name uncultured bacterium. RNAcentral's name for it is "partial 16S ribosomal RNA". It matches the Rfam family "Bacterial small subunit ribosomal RNA", at positions 523 to 918 of the family's 1533-position model. The record is from RNAcentral.